This 437-nucleotide ribosomal RNA is filed under the name uncultured bacterium. RNAcentral's name for it is "bacterial SSU rRNA". It matches the Rfam family "Bacterial small subunit ribosomal RNA", at positions 958 to 1392 of the family's 1533-position model. The record is from RNAcentral.
AACGCGAAGAACCUUACCAAGGCUUGACAUCCCCUUGACCAGUGCAGAGAUGUACUCUUCUCUUCGGAGACAAGGGUGACAGGUGGUGCAUGGUUGUCGUCAGCUCGUGUCGUGAGAUGUUGGGUUAAGUCCCGCAACGAGCGCAACCCUUAUCCUUAGUUGCCAGCAAGUAAUGUUGGGCACUCUAAGGAGACUGCCGAUGAUAAAUCGGAGGAAGGUGGGGAUGACGUCAAAUCAUCAUGCCCCUUAUGUCUUGGGCUACACACGUGCUACAAUGGUCGGUACAAAGGGAAGCGAAGUAGAGAUAUGGAGCAAAUCCCAAUAAACCGAUCCCAGUUCGGAUUGUAGGCUGCAACUCGCCUACAUGAAGUCGGAGUUGCUAGUAAUCGCGAACCAGAACGUCGCGGUGAAUGCGUUCCCGGGUCUUGUACACACCG